CUCACUGCUAACAUGUUGAUCACAGUCCUUUACCUCUUGCUUCUUUUACACUCAGGUCUCACUGUUGUAGUUCUUCAGUCAGGAGAUCAAACAUCCCGCCCCGGACUCACAGUGAGCUUUGAGUGCAGCAUGGGUGCAGGGUCGAGCAUGGGCAGCUUCACCAUGUACUGGUACCGACAAAAACACUACGGAGCUCCAGUGGAGUACCUCACCAGAGAGUACGAACAAAAUGAAGGGCACUUCCAGUCGUCUAUUGACACAUCCAAAAACAGCUUCACUCUUAAAGUUCCUGGGCUGUUCCUGAAUGACAGCAGCACCUACUACUGUGCCGCCAGUCACAGUGAUGCACGCAGACCAGACAGUCGUACAAAUAACUAG
Epinephelus moara (kelp grouper) is the source of this 378-nucleotide non-coding RNA. The record is from the annotation of a RefSeq genome assembly. Lineage: Eukaryota; Metazoa; Chordata; Actinopteri; Perciformes; Serranidae.